GCCUGAAUAGCUCAGUUGGUAGAGCGCAUGGCUCUGGUCAAUAACCUGGUCCAAAAUGUUGUGGGUUCGAUUCCCACCUCUGCCA
This 85-nucleotide transfer RNA is filed under the name Xenopus laevis (African clawed frog). It matches the Rfam family "tRNA". From Rfam's summary of the family: Transfer RNA (tRNA) molecules are approximately 80 nucleotides in length. Their secondary structure includes four short double-helical elements and three loops (D, anti-codon, and T loops). Further hydrogen bonds mediate the characteristic L-shaped molecular structure. tRNAs have two regions of fundamental functional importance: the anti-codon, which is responsible for specific mRNA codon recognition, and the 3' end, to which the tRNAs corresponding amino acid is attached (by aminoacyl-tRNA synthetases). tRNAs cope with the degeneracy of the genetic code in two manners: having more than one tRNA (with a specific anti-codon) for a particular amino acid; and 'wobble' base-pairing, i.e. permitting non-standard base-pairing at the 3rd anti-codon position. The record is from Rfam by way of RNAcentral. Lineage: Eukaryota; Metazoa; Chordata; Amphibia; Anura; Pipidae.